UGGCAAGCGUUGUCCGGAUUUACUGGGCGUAAAGGGAGCGUAGGCGGAUUUUUAAGUGGGAUGUGAAAUACCCGGGCUCAACCUUGGUGCUGCAUUCCAAACUGGAAAUCUAGAGUGCAGGAGGGAAAAGUGGAAUCCCUAGUGUAGCGGUGAAAUGCGUAGAGAUUAGGAAGAACACCAGUGGCGAAGGCGACUUUCUGGACUGUAACUGACGCUGAGGCUCGAAAGCGUGGGGAGC
RNAcentral lists this ribosomal RNA (238 nucleotides) under uncultured bacterium. Its description in RNAcentral is "partial 16S ribosomal RNA". It matches the Rfam family "Bacterial small subunit ribosomal RNA", at positions 532 to 769 of the family's 1533-position model. The record is from RNAcentral.